ACGCUAGGCAUGGGACGGGGCGGGGCCCUGGCGGUGGGUCCCGGGCCACCCCCCGCGCUGCUCUGAGCAUGCCCCCGGCGCGCUAUUUAAGGCGGCGCAGUCUCAGCCUCCAGCAGUGCCACCGCCACCGCCUCCACUGCACCCGCUAAUCCGCUGCGCCCAGCUGCCUCCGCCCGCAGCCCUCAGUCUCCCAGCCUCUCCACCUGUGAGAUGGUGA
This 217-nucleotide long non-coding RNA is filed under the name Ictidomys tridecemlineatus (thirteen-lined ground squirrel). RNAcentral's name for it is "lncRNA (ENSSTOG00000034922.1)". The record is from RNAcentral. Lineage: Eukaryota; Metazoa; Chordata; Mammalia; Rodentia; Sciuridae.